Molecule: long non-coding RNA, 717 nt
Organism: Neofelis nebulosa (Clouded leopard)
Lineage: Eukaryota; Metazoa; Chordata; Mammalia; Carnivora; Felidae
Exons: 4
Source: RefSeq, a predicted model, not a curated record
CACUGAAACAUUACGUCCUUCCCUUGGUAACUGAAUCGUUCAUUUGAAACACCCGGGACUGGAGAGAAUUCUUCUAGGGGAAAGAGUUUUCACUGUCAUUUUUAUUUGAAUUUUUCAUUUGCUUAAAGGUGAGUCCAAAUUAAACAAAAGAACUUGAGGUGUUGACUGUCUUACUAAAAUAAAGGAACAGGCACGAUUUCGCAGGCAAAUCAUAUUUCUGGAACCUGUGGGACAUUAUCCAGUUUCAGUGGAUUGCCUUCGUAGCUUUUCUAAACCUAAAGGACUUAUCAGCAACAUGGAGACAGUGUUGUCCUGCAUUCUUCAGUUCCAGAAGCUGGCAGAAGAAAGGCCCUAUGAGCGGUGAGCCCGCUCUUUAGCGCACACCGGGGAGGAGGCUCCACCUGCUGCCGGCCCACCAAUACUUCCAGCUGACUGCUUUGCAGAACAGCAAAGCAUCCCAGCUAGCUUCUGUACGGGCCCACCUGAAGCACUCCUGAGAGAUUUCAUUCGAGCUACUCCAGCCUGUCCCGUGUGAAUAAGCACAGGUCCCCCACUCAGCUGGUCUCUACUCCAAGGAUCGCGUUUCAAAAUCUGUCGACAGGAAUCAAGGAAUCAAGGUAUUUUCUUUUUCCCUGAAUCACCGGUCAGUUCUUCUCUACUCCAGUUCUUCUCUAUUAAGUGAGGACUGUGCUACCAGCCUGUGGACUCACCAUUUAC